AUACAGAGGCCAAGAGCGUUGUUCGGAUUUACUGGGCGUAAAGGGCGCGUAGGCGGUCUUGCGUGUCAAGUGUGAAAUCUCCGGGCCCAACCCGGAAAGUGCGCUUGAAACUACAGGACUCGAGUCUGGGAGAGGGAAUCGGAAUGCAGGGUGUAGCGGUGAAAUGCGUUGAUAUCCUGCAGAACACCGGAGGCGAAGGCGGAUUCCUUGAACAGCACGGACGCUGAGGCGCGAAAGUCGGGGGAGCAAACAGGAUUAGAUACCCUGGUAGUCCCGACCUUAAACGGUGCACACUCGGGGUGGGGCCAUUUCACCGGUCCCGUCCCUUAGCUAACGCGUUAAGUGUGCCGCCUGGGGAGUACGGCCGCAAGGCUAAAACUCAAAGGAAUUGGCGGGG
This 397-nucleotide ribosomal RNA is filed under the name uncultured bacterium. RNAcentral's name for it is "partial 16S ribosomal RNA". It matches the Rfam family "Bacterial small subunit ribosomal RNA", at positions 523 to 918 of the family's 1533-position model. The record is from RNAcentral.